Molecule: ribosomal RNA, 733 nt
Filed under: Rhizophagus irregularis
Lineage: Eukaryota; Fungi; Glomeromycota; Glomeromycetes; Glomerales; Glomeraceae
Description: SSU rRNA
Rfam family: Eukaryotic small subunit ribosomal RNA
Source: RNAcentral
AGGGAGCCUGAGAAACGGCUACCACAUCCAAGGAUGGCAGCAGGCGCGCAAAUUACCCAAUCCCGACACGGGGAGGUAGUGACAAUAAAUAACAAUACGGGGUUCUUUAGGAUCUCGUAAUUGGAAUGAGUACAAUUUAAAUCUCUUAACGAGGAACAAUUGGAGGGCAAGUCUGGUGCCAGCAGCCGCGGUAAUUCCAGCUCCAAUAGCGUAUAUUAAAGUUGUUGCAGUUAAAAAGCUCGUAGUUGAAUUUCGGGGUUAGUAGGUUGGUCAUGCCUCUGGUAUGUACUGGUCUCACUGAUUCCUCCUUCCUUAUGAACCGUAAUGCCAUUAAUUUGGUGUUGCGGGGAAUUUGGACUGUUACUUUGAAAAAAUUAGAGUGUUUAAAGCAAGCUAACGCUUGAAUACAUUAGCAUGGAAUAAUGAAAUAGGACGUUCGAUCUUAUUUUGUUGGUUUCUAGGAUUGACGUAAUGAUUAAUAGGGAUAGUUGGGGGCAUUAGUAUUCAAUUGUCAGAGGUGAAAUUCUUGGAUUUAUUGAAGACUAACUACUGCGAAAGCAUUUGCCAAGGAUGUUUUCAUUAAUCAAGAACGAAAGUUAGGGGAUCGAAGACGAUCAGAUACCGUCGUAGUCUUAACCAUAAACUAUGCCGACUAGGGAUCGGAUGAUGUUAAUUUUUUAAUGACUCAUUCGGCGCCUUACGGGAAACCAAAGUGUUUGGGUUCCGGGGGGGA